AGUCGAACGCUUCUUUCCUCCCGAGUGCUUGCACUCAAUUGGAAAGAGGAGUGGCGGACGGGUGAGUAACACGUGGGUAACCUACCCAUCAGAGGGGGAUAACACUUGGAAACAGGUGCUAAUACCGCAUAACAGUUUAUGCCGCAUGGCAUAAGAGUGAGAGGCGCUUUCGGGUGUCGCUGAUGGAUGGACCCGCGGUGCAUUAGCUAGUUGGUGAGGUAACGGCUCACCAAGGCCACGAUGCAUAGCCGACCUGAGAGGGUGAUCGGCCACACUGGGACUGAGACACGGCCCAGACUCCUACGGGAGGCAGCAGUAGGGAAUCUUCGGCAAUGGACGAAAGUCUGACCGAGCAACGCCGCGUGAGUGAAGAAGGUUUUCGGAUCGUAAAACUCUGUUGUUAGAGAAGAACAAGGACGUUAGUAACUGAACGUCCCCCGACGGUAUCUAACCAGAAAGCCACGGCUAACUACGUGCCAGCAGCCGCGGUAAUACGUAGGUGGCAAGCGUUGUCCGGAUUUAUUGGGCGUAAAGCGAGCGCAGGCGGUUUCUUAAGUCUGAUGUGAAAGCCCCCGGCUCAACCGGGGAGGGUCAUUGGAAACUGGGAGACUUGAGUGCAGAAGAGGAGAGUGGAAUUCCAUGUGUAGCGGUGAAAUGCGUAGAUAUAUGGAGGAACACCAGUGGCGAAGGCGGCUCUCUGGUCU
Molecule: ribosomal RNA, 704 nt
Filed under: uncultured Enterococcus sp.
Lineage: Bacteria; Bacillati; Bacillota; Bacilli; Lactobacillales; Enterococcaceae
Description: bacterial SSU rRNA
Rfam family: Bacterial small subunit ribosomal RNA
Source: RNAcentral